This 18-nucleotide microRNA is filed under the name Corchorus olitorius. RNAcentral's name for it is "gga-miR-6713-". The record is from RNAcentral. Lineage: Eukaryota; Viridiplantae; Streptophyta; Magnoliopsida; Malvales; Malvaceae.
CAGAAGCUGUAAUUAUCA